This 497-nucleotide ribosomal RNA is filed under the name uncultured bacterium. Its description in RNAcentral is "partial 16S ribosomal RNA". It matches the Rfam family "Bacterial small subunit ribosomal RNA", at positions 28 to 507 of the family's 1533-position model. The record is from RNAcentral.
GACGAACGCUGGCGGCGUGCCUAAUACAUGCAAGUAGAACGCUGAAGGAAGGAGCUUGCUCUUUCUGGAUGAGUUGCGAACGGGUGAGUAACGCGUAGGUAACCUGCCUGGUAGCGGGGGAUAACUAUUGGAAACGAUAGCUAAUACCGCAUAAAAUUGAUUAUUGCAUGAUAGUCAAUUAAAAGGUGCAACUGCACCACUACCAGAUGGACCUGCGUUGUAUUAGCUAGUUGGUGGGGUAACGGCUCACCAAGGCGACGAUACAUAGCCGACCUGAGAGGGUGAUCGGCCACACUGGGACUGGGACACGGCCCAGACUCCUACGGGAGGCAGCAGUAGGGAAUCUUCGGCAAUGGACGGAAGUCUGACCGAGCAACGCCGCGUGAGUGCAGAAGGUUUUCGGAUCGUAAAGCUCUGUUGUAAGAGAAGAACGAGUGUGAGAGUGGAAAGUUCACACUGUGACGGUAUCUUACCAGAAAGGGACGGCUAACUACGUG